UUUUUUUAGUGAAUUCUUUUUUUUUUUGGUGUUUGUGGGGGGAACUUCAUCAUCAACAAUUCCGUAUCUCCAGCACAUCGUGAACAUUAAUCUAAUCCCAUUUCAUAAGCACGAAUGCAAACAUAGCCGCUUAAGUAUCACAAGCUCCGAGAUUAUCUCCUGUGUGGUCUGUACUCGAGGCCACAGAUCAGACUGUUGAGCCUGUGAAAUUUGUUUCUAGGGUACAGUUUCUAGGACACAGCAGAUGGGCCAUGCCUGCAUGUUCUCAUGUUCAUGGUCCUGAACUCGACGUUUUACAGGUCAAACCAUUUCAUCACCACACUGUUCCCCAAGCACACAUUACACAAAACAAUGGUCGAUAAGAACAUAUAUACGGGGACAAAAGAUCCAGAAUUAUUACGA
RNAcentral lists this long non-coding RNA (402 nucleotides) under Setaria viridis. Its description in RNAcentral is "long non-coding RNA (SVIR_LNC002211)". Lineage: Eukaryota; Viridiplantae; Streptophyta; Magnoliopsida; Poales; Poaceae. The record is from RNAcentral.